UGCAGAGAGACCUCAUCUCUUUUUAUGUAAUUUGUACAUUUCUCCCAGACACACGAAAUCUCUGCACUUCCAGUCAGAUGCUGGGAAUGAAAUGAGCGACCAAAGGCCCAUUUGAAGUGGCGGCCCCAGAUCCUCCAAAGGCUUCGGCAGCAUCUGCCUUGUGCCCUUUCACGCUCUCUUGAAAAGAUGCUUUUCUAUUCCUGCUUCAGAGCCUGACGAGAAGACAACAGAGCUGAGGAGCUCUCAGAGCCAGAGCAGAGGAGCUGACACCAAAGAGGGCAUCAGCUACACAGCCUGGGACAGUGACGAUGGGAGCG
Molecule: long non-coding RNA, 317 nt
Filed under: Calidris pugnax (ruff)
Lineage: Eukaryota; Metazoa; Chordata; Aves; Charadriiformes; Scolopacidae
Description: lncRNA (ENSCPUG00000017523.1)
Source: RNAcentral